This 765-nucleotide ribosomal RNA is filed under the name uncultured bacterium. RNAcentral's name for it is "bacterial SSU rRNA". It matches the Rfam family "Bacterial small subunit ribosomal RNA", at positions 8 to 796 of the family's 1533-position model. The record is from RNAcentral.
AGAGUUUGAUCCUGGCUCAGGACGAACGCUGGCGGCGUGCUUAACACAUGCAAGUCGAGCGGAAAGGCCCUUCGGGGUACUCGAGCGGCGAACGGGUGAGUAACACGUGAGUAACCUGCCCUUGGCUCUGGGAUAGCUCCGGGAAACCGGAAUUAAUACCGGAUAUGACCCUGUGUGACAUCGUGCGGGGUGGAAAGUUUUUCGGCCAGGGAUGGGCUCGCGGCCUAUCAGCUUGUUGGUGGGGUAAUGGCCUACCAAGGCGACGACGGGUAGCCGGCCUGAGAGGGCGACCGGCCACACUGGGACUGAGACACGGCCCAGACUCCUACGGGAGGCAGCAGUGGGGAAUAUUGCGCAAUGGGCGGAAGCCUGACGCAGCGACGCCGCGUGGGGGAUGAAGGCCUUCGGGUUGUAAACCCCUUUCGGCAGGGACGAAUCUGACGGUACCUGCAGAAGAAGCGCCGGCUAACUACGUGCCAGCAGUCGCGGUAACACGUAGGGCGCAAGCGUUGUCCGGAAUCAUUGGGCGUAAAGAGCUCGUAGGCGGUUUGUCGCGUCUGCUGUGAAAGCCCGGGGCUUAACCCCGGGUCUGCAGUGGAUACGGGCAGACUAGAGGUAGGCAGGGGAGAAUGGAAUUCCCGGUGUAGCGGUGAAAUGCGCAGAUAUCGGGAGGAACACCGGUGGCGAAGGCGGUUCUCUGGGCCUUACCUGACGCUGAGGAGCGAAAGCGUGGGGAGCGAACAGGAUUAGAUACCCCCGUAGUCC